AAAGCAGAAUGUAUUCCAGAAAAAUGCAGUGAAGUGAAAGGGACUUAGAGAAGGUAAUAGUGUGUUAUGAAAACGAUUUAGAUUAUGACUCGGCACGGCCCUAUCCAUGGUGAACACCAUUCACCGUGUAUAAUUCCAUCAUGGGUUUCACAAAAGAUGCGUCUCUCAUCCCUAACAUUGACAUUCAUAGAUAAAUUAGAAUUAAUAAUGAUCAUCUUUGUCAAGUGGUUUGUUAAUACACGCAUACACAAAUAUGUGGAAUCUAAUAUAUUAUACAUACAAACAUACCAAAAUAGCAAAACUCUAUUCCCAGCUAGCU
RNAcentral lists this long non-coding RNA (319 nucleotides) under Drosophila guanche. Lineage: Eukaryota; Metazoa; Arthropoda; Insecta; Diptera; Drosophilidae. The record is from RNAcentral.